UACGAAGGGUGCGAACGUUAUUCGGAAUAAUUGGGCGUAAAGGGUUUGUAGGUGGUUUGUUAAGUCAGUCGUUUAAUACCUCGGCCUAACCGAGGAUCGGCGAUUGAAACUGGCGAGCUAGAGGUUGGAAGAGGCAAGUGGAAUUCCGGGAGUAGAGGUAAAAUUCGUAGAUCUCCGGAGGAACACCAAUGGCGAAAGCAGCUUGCUGGUCCAUACCUGACACUGAGAAACGAAAGCGUAGGGAGCAAACAGG
This 253-nucleotide ribosomal RNA is filed under the name uncultured bacterium. RNAcentral's name for it is "partial 16S ribosomal RNA". It matches the Rfam family "Bacterial small subunit ribosomal RNA", at positions 524 to 776 of the family's 1533-position model. The record is from RNAcentral.